Molecule: transfer RNA, 73 nt
Filed under: Salmo salar (Atlantic salmon)
Lineage: Eukaryota; Metazoa; Chordata; Actinopteri; Salmoniformes; Salmonidae
Rfam family: tRNA
About the family: Transfer RNA (tRNA) molecules are approximately 80 nucleotides in length. Their secondary structure includes four short double-helical elements and three loops (D, anti-codon, and T loops).
Source: Rfam by way of RNAcentral
CCUCGUGUAGCUCAGUUGGUAAAGCGUGGCGUUUGAUACGUCAGGGUUGUGGGUUCGAUUUCCAUGAGGGGGA